RNAcentral lists this transfer RNA (96 nucleotides) under Streptomyces gardneri. Its description in RNAcentral is "tRNA-Ala". The record is from RNAcentral. Lineage: Bacteria; Bacillati; Actinomycetota; Actinomycetes; Kitasatosporales; Streptomycetaceae.
CCGCGGCCAGUUCGCGGGCGAGGGUGCGGACGGUGGCGGCGUCCACGUCGCAGACGGCGGCGACGGCCUCGGGGCUGAACUCCUCGACCGCGGCCC